UUAAGGAACCCACUGAUCGAGGCCAGGGAUCGAACCAGCGUCCUCAUGGGUACUAUUUGGGUUCGUUAACCACUGAGCCAUUGCGGGAACUCCUGAUUUAAUUUUUAUUUCCCUUUUAUUGAUGUGUCAGAUAGCUUAUUACAUUUUGCACUCUUCCUUUAGAACACUUUCAGUAACCACAUAUCCGUUUUUAAACAACUCUUUACGGAGCGCCUGCUGCAUGUCCGAUGGUGCUUCCGCUUAGGUGAUUAUCAGUGAACAAAACAGGCCCCGCCGGGGCGUGUCCUGGAGAGCGUGGGACCUGCACCAGGGAGCGCGGUGUUCAGCAAAGGGACACGCACGUGGAAUGUGACGGCCGUUCACGCAUCGUUUCAGGGUGUGAUGCAGACACGCACCACAUACACUGGUCCUUACAGAAAAGGUUUCAUGACCUGUUGUUAAGUGGAAAAAGCAUUUGUCCUCACUGAGCAUCCUGCUUUUGUAAAAUCCUAGCGUAUGUUUACAUGUGAUUGUGUUGGAGUUUUGGGAACACUAUAUUAAAAAAUACCUGUGGGUAGGGAGA
Molecule: non-coding RNA, 562 nt
Organism: Sus scrofa (pig)
Lineage: Eukaryota; Metazoa; Chordata; Mammalia; Artiodactyla; Suidae
Source: RefSeq, a predicted model, not a curated record